GACGAACGCUGGCGGCGUGCCUAAUACAUGCAAGUUGAGCGCUGAAGGUUGGUCCUUGUACCAACUGGAUGAGCAGCGAACGGGUGAGUAACGCGUGGGUAAUCUGCCUUUGAGCGGGGGACAACAUUUGGAAACGAAUGCUAAUACCGCAUAAAAACUUUAAACACAAGUUUUAAGUUUGAAAGAUGCAAUUGCAUCACUCAAAGAUGAUCCCGCGUUGUAUUAGCUAGUUGGUGAGGUAAAGGCUCACCAAGGCGAUGAUACAUAGCCGACCUGAGAGGGUGAUCGGCCACAUUGGGAAUGAGACACGGCCCAAACUCCUACGGGAAGGAGCAGUAGGGAAACUUUGGCAAUAGACGAAAGGCUGACCGAGGAAAGCCGCGUGAGGGAAGAAGGUUUUCGGAUCGUAAAACUCUGUUGGUAGAGAAGAACGGUGGUGAGAGUGGAAAGCUCAUCAAGUGACGGUAACUACACAGAAAGGGACGGCUAACUACGUG
Molecule: ribosomal RNA, 497 nt
Filed under: uncultured bacterium
Lineage: Bacteria
Description: partial 16S ribosomal RNA
Rfam family: Bacterial small subunit ribosomal RNA
Source: RNAcentral